UUUCUGUGCUUUUGGAAUAAUUAAAUUAAUAAUAACUUUCUUCAUGUGAAUUGAACUACAACACAAUACGAAGCUAAAUUUACUAUAAUUUUGGCAGCUAAUUAUAGGAACACCGAAUGAAGAGAUCAGUUUGGUUGUGGUGAGGACAUGGAAUGUUGGAGUUUGCAGAUUGCCAUACUGAUUCACUCCUGUCAUGGACUACAGCUUUCAAGUAUGGCACUUGACAGGGAUGAACUGGAUGAACUCUUUUAGAUAGCUGGGGCUGGAGAUACAUGACAACAUUUCUCAGUGCCAUGCAUCGAUGCUGAUAUGAGCUGGAGGACAUCCUCAUGUGACAUGAGUCAUCGACCUGAGCCUUCAAGUGUGGCUGUUGACAGCUGGACUAGCUGAUUCGUCUACAACUGAUGAUUUUCCAUUACUUCUGUAGCAGAUUCAUCAGAGAUUUUGUUGCAUUCUUCAUUGUGUAUCACGACCCUGCAACACAACUAGAGUUGUGUAUCACCAUUCUUCAACUCCACUGCAUUGUGUAUCAAAGCCAUGUUACGCAGCUGUAGUUGUGUAUCACGGUCUUGCAACGCAACUGCAGUUGUGCAUCACCAUUCUUCAACUCCACUGUAUUGUGUAUCAAAUCCAUAUCACGAUCUUGCAAUACAACUGCAGUUGUGUAUCACCAUUCUUCAACUCCACUGCAUUGUGUAUCAAAUCCAUGUAACGGAAACUGUAGUUGCGUAUCACGAUCUUGCAACGCUAAAAACCUUCAGCCUUAUCAAGGAAC
Molecule: long non-coding RNA, 775 nt
Organism: Nilaparvata lugens (brown planthopper)
Lineage: Eukaryota; Metazoa; Arthropoda; Insecta; Hemiptera; Delphacidae
Exons: 4
Source: RefSeq, a predicted model, not a curated record